RNAcentral lists this long non-coding RNA (402 nucleotides) under Amborella trichopoda. RNAcentral describes it as "long non-coding RNA (ATRI_LNC000384)". Lineage: Eukaryota; Viridiplantae; Streptophyta; Magnoliopsida; Amborellales; Amborellaceae. The record is from RNAcentral.
AAUUUAUAUCAAAUAUAUUAGAAUGGUUUAUUGGUUGCUUUAAUGAUUAAGUUUUAUAUGAAUCAUGGUUAAGAAUUCGUUUUGUUGGUUCAAAAAAAUUACUUGCCCAUUGAAAUCCCAGAAUCGAACUAGAAUCCUCUCUUAAAUAAGUCUUUUAUUUCUUUUAAGAAUUCGUUCCGUUGGUUCAAAAAAAUUACUUGCCCAUUGGAAUCCCAUAAUUGAACUAGAAUCAUCUCUUAAAAAACUCCUUUAUUUCUUUUAAAAAUUCAUUUUGUUGGUUCAAAAAAUUUAUUUGCCCAUUGGAAUCCCAGAAUCGAAUUAGAAUCCUCUCUUAAAAAAUCCUUUAUUAUCAAACCCGCUAACCAAUACACCAUUUACUACUUAGUUGAUAAAAAAAAGUGC